GACGAACGCUGGCGGCGUGCCUAAUACAUGCAAGUUGAGCGCUCAAGGUUGGUACUUGUACCAACUGGAUGAGCAGCGAACGGGUGAGUAACGCGUGGGUAAUCUGCCUUUGAGCGGGGGACAACAUUUGGAAACGAAUGCUAAUACCGCAUAAAAUCUUUAAACACAAGUUUUAAGUUUGAAAGAUGCAAUUGCAUCACUCAAAGAUGAUCCCGCGUUGUCUUUGCUAGUUGGUGAGGUAAAGGCCCUCCAAGGCGAGGAUACAUAGCCGACCUGAGAGGGGGGUUCGCCAAAAUGGGACGGGGACACGGCCCAAAAUCCUACGGGGGGGAGCAGGAGGGAAACUUCGGGAAUGGAGGAAAGGCUGGACGAGGAACGGCGGGGGAGGGGAGAAGGUUGUCGGGUCGGAAAACUCUGUUGGUAGAGAAGAACGUAGGGGGGAGUGGAAAGCGCAUGAAGUGACGGUAACUACCCAGAAAGGGACGGCUAACUACGUG
Molecule: ribosomal RNA, 497 nt
Filed under: uncultured bacterium
Lineage: Bacteria
Description: partial 16S ribosomal RNA
Rfam family: Bacterial small subunit ribosomal RNA
Source: RNAcentral